GCCGCUAUCGUCUAGUCCGGUCCAGGACGCUAGGUUCUCAUCCUAGUAACCCGGGUUCGAAUCCCGGUAGCGGUA
Molecule: transfer RNA, 75 nt
Filed under: Patescibacteria group bacterium
Lineage: Bacteria
Description: tRNA-Glu
Rfam family: tRNA
About the family: Transfer RNA (tRNA) molecules are approximately 80 nucleotides in length. Their secondary structure includes four short double-helical elements and three loops (D, anti-codon, and T loops).
Source: RNAcentral